RNAcentral lists this long non-coding RNA (248 nucleotides) under Mytilus galloprovincialis (Mediterranean mussel). Lineage: Eukaryota; Metazoa; Mollusca; Bivalvia; Mytilida; Mytilidae. The record is from RNAcentral.
GUUUGUUUGAUUCAUCUGAAAAUUUCAGGGCUGAUAGAUCUUGACCUAAUGAACAUUUUUACCCCUGUCAGAUUUGCUCUAAAUGCUUCCGUUUUUGAGAUAUAAGCCAAAAACUGCAUUUGACCCCUAUGUUCUAUUUUAAGUAAUGGCGGCCAUGUUUUUUGACGGAUCAAAAAUCGAAGCACACACUUUGUGCAGGAUAAUCUAAGGAAUUAUCAUGCUAAGUUUCAUCCAAAUCCAUUCAGUAG